AGCUCCAAUAGCGUAUAUUAAAGUUGUUGCGGUUAAAAAGCUCGUAGUUGGAUUUCUGUUGAGGAUGGGCGGUCUCUACUCUCGUAGAUGCAUUUGUCACAGCCUCGGCAUCCUCUUGAAGAACGGUUCUGUGAUUCAUUUCGUGGUCCGGAAUUCAAGACUUUUACUUGAGGAAAUUAGAGUGUUCACGGCAAGCAAUCGCUUUGAAUACAUUAGCAUGGAAUAAUAAUAUAGGACC
This 238-nucleotide ribosomal RNA is filed under the name uncultured eukaryote. Its description in RNAcentral is "partial small subunit ribosomal RNA". It matches the Rfam family "Eukaryotic small subunit ribosomal RNA", at positions 587 to 829 of the family's 1831-position model. The record is from RNAcentral.